CCAUUCUUCCCAUUAUUCCCAUCAUCCCCAUCAUCCCCAUUAUCCCCACCCCCCCACUAAUCCCGGAAUUCCGGGAAUUCCCGGAAUUCCUUCCCGCAGCCGCUCCCCGUCGCCGCUCCAGGCGGCCGAGAAGGAGCAGGAGACCCCGUGGGAACUGGCCGAGCGCUGUCUCCGGGAAUUGUUGGGAAGAGCGGCUUUUGGGAAUAUCAAGAACGCCAUCAAGCCCGUCCUCACGUGAGUCCCCAUUCCCGGAAAAAAAACCGGGAAUUUCCUGCUUUUCCUGGGGAAAAAUCCCCCCCUCGGAGCGGGAUUCGGAGCCCGGCUUUUCCGGCUUUUUCCCUCAGCCCGAAUCCCGGGAAUGCCGGCGGAUAUCCCGGAAAAUGUCGGCGUGUUUUAGUUCCAGGUUAUCCCUGGAGUUGCCUUAAUUUCCCUUGGAAUUCCCAUUUUUCCCAGAAUUCCCUUUAAUUUCCCGUUUUCCCUGGAAUUCCCAUUUUUCCCUUUAAUUUCUCAUUUUCCCUGGAAUUCCCAUUUUUCCCUUUAAUUUCUCAUUUUCCCAUAAUUCCCAUUUUUCCCUGGAAUUCCCAUUUUUCCCUGGAAUUCCCAUUUUUCCCUUUAAUUUCUUCUUUUCCCUGAAAUUCCCAUUUUUCCCUCACAGUUCCCAUUUUUCCCAGAAUUCCCAUUUUCCCCCUCACAAUUCCUAUUUCCCCCCAAAAAUUCCCAUUUCCCCCCCAGAAUUCCCAUUUAUUCCCUGAAAUUCCUAUUUUUCCCCCUGAAAUUCCCAUUUUCCCUCCCCAGAAUUCCCAUUUUCCUCCCAGAAUUCCCAUUUUUCCCCUCACAAUUCCCAUUUUUCCCUCAGAAUUCCCAUUUAUUCCCAGAAUUCCCAUUUUUUUCUCCCAGAAUUCCCAUUUAUUCCCUGAAAUUCCCAUUUAUUCACAGAAUUCCCAUUUAUUCCCAUUUAUUCCCAUUUUUUCCCCCCCUGAAUUCCCAUUUAUUCCCUGAAAUUCCCAUUUCCCCCCCAAAAUUCCCAUUUUCCCUCCCACAAUUCCCAUUUUUCCCUCCAGAAUUCCCAUUUAUUCCCAGAAUUCCCAUUUAUUCCCAGAAUUCCCAUUUUUUUCCCCAGAAUUCCCAUUUUCCCUCUCCAGAAUUCCCAUUUUUUCCCAUUUUUUCCCCAGAAUUCCCAUUUUCCCUCUCCAGAAUUCCCAUUUUUUCCCAUUUAUUCCCGUUUUUUCCCCCCCAGAAUUCCCAUUUAUUCCCUGAAAUUCCCAUUUUCCCCAUCACAAUUCCCAUUUCCCCCCAGAAUUCCCAUUUCCCCCCCAGAAUUCCCAUUUAUUCCCAGAAUUCCCAUUUUCCUCUCAGAAUUCCCAUUUUUUCCCUGAAAUUCCCAUUUUCCCCUCCAGAAUUCCCAUUUCCUCCUCCAGAAUUCCCAUUCCCCCCCACAAUUCCCAUUUUUCCCCCCAGAAUUCCCAUUUUCCCCCCCAGAAUUCCCAUUUAUUCCCAGAAUUCCCAUUUAUUCCCAUUUAUUCCCAAUUUUUUCCCCCAGAAUUCCCAUUUUUCCCUGCAGAAUUCCCAUUUAUUUCCAUUUAUUCCCAUUUUUCCCUGCAGAAUUCCCAUUUAUUCCCAGAAUUCCCAUUUAUUCCCAUUUAUUCCCAUUUUUUUCCUCCCACAAUUCCCAUUUUCCCCCCCAGAAUUCCCAUUUCCCCCCCAGAAUUCCCAUUUUUCCCUCCAGAAUUCCCAUUUAUUCCCAGAAUUCCCAUUUUUUUCUCCCAGAAUUCCCAUUUUCCUCCCAGAAUUCCCAUUUAUUCCCAGAAUUCCCAUUUAUUCCCAGAAUUCCCAUUUUCCUCCCAGAAUUCCCAUUUAUUCCCAGAAUUCCCAUUUAUUCCCAUUUAUUCCCGUUUUUUCCCCCCAGAAUUCCCAUUUCCCCCCCAGAAUUCCCAUUUAUUCCCAGAAUUCCCAUUUAUUCCCAUUUAUUCCCAAUUUUUUCCCCCCAGAAUUCCCAUUUAUUCCCAGAAUUCCCAUUUUUUCCCCCCAGAAUUCCCAUUUUCCCCUCACAAUUCCCAUUUUCCCCCCCAGAAUUCCCAUUUUUCCCCAGGAAUUCCCAUUUUUUCCCCCAGAAUUCCCAUUUAUUCCCAGAAUUCCCAUUUUUUUCUCCCAGAAUUCCCAUUUUCCUCCCAGAAUUCCCAUUUAUUCCCAGAAUUCCCAUUUAUUCCCAGAAUUCCCAUUUUCCUCCCAGAAUUCCCAUUUUCCCUCCCAGAAUUCCCAUUUUUCCCUUUAAUUUCUUCUUUUCCCCUGAAAUUCCCAUUUUUCCCCACCGUUUUCAUUUUUCCCAGAAUUCCCAUUUUUUCCCCCCAGAAUUCCCAUUUUUUCCCUGAAAUUCCCAUUUUUCCCUGAAAUUCCCAUUUUUCCCUAAAAUUCCCAUUUUCCCCUCCAGAAUUCC
Long non-coding RNA from Cyanistes caeruleus (blue tit), 2434 nucleotides. Lineage: Eukaryota; Metazoa; Chordata; Aves; Passeriformes; Paridae. The record is from Ensembl.